CCAAAUUGUAGCCGCCGCCGCACUCGCGCGCGCUGCUCGCGAAAGGCCCCUAAAGAUAAAAUAUGUGUCUGUGUGNGCGGCGCGCGCCUGCGCGCAUCAAGCGGCCAUUGCUGAGGAGGACCUUGUUUCUUUUCAUCAGCUUUUGUCUUUUCUACUGGAUGGAAGCAUGUAAAAAAUGAUACUGAAGAGAAACAAUGUUGGUCCUCGAUAUUCAAGGCUUUCUUUCACUUGCAUCGGUCUUUGCCACAUGACACCUAGUGAAGCAGCAAGGGAAGCAUGGAAUGAAGGUCUGUGGCAUGAAAUAUAUUGGAAAAAAUCAAUGGAGAAUUUCCCCAGAGAAACAGAAUAAAAUGGUUCUAAACUGUUGGAAAAUGAAAAAAUUCUCGAGCUGGGAGCUCCUAUGGUAAUAUUUGAGCAGCCUUGGAUAUGCAAACUCUCCUUCCUCUGAACAGAAAAGGAAGAUGCUGGGCUCUUCACAAGGAGGGAAGAAGGGAAGGAAAAAGAAGAGAAGGAAGGAAGAACUGGUCACAUCAUAUUUGGCUUCAGAGUCUCGAAAUAUUGUACAGUGGCUAAGAGGACCUAAGUGCUCACCAAGUGCAAAACAAGCCAGAAAACCUCCAAACACAGCAGGACAUCUUAGCACUGCAGAACUGUCCCCACCAUAA
This 665-nucleotide long non-coding RNA is filed under the name Salvator merianae (Argentine black and white tegu). RNAcentral describes it as "lncRNA (ENSSMRG00000004883.1)". Lineage: Eukaryota; Metazoa; Chordata; Lepidosauria; Squamata; Teiidae. The record is from RNAcentral.